CAAUCACAACCUCGCUUCCAGCUGUCACUCAGCUGACUCUCCUCUCCCAUAACUGCCUCUCACCCCUCAGCCGAGUUGCACCCUCCGGGCCUGUAGCUGUGCCUUUCCCGCAGGGCUUCUGGUGAGCACAAGCCUUGACAACUUUAAUAACGAGAAAAUUUUCAGGGCUUUCAGUGUCUUCAAAUAUCUUCACAAGGGAAAACAGCUUCCAAGCAUGUGAGCUGGGGAAGCAUCAGAGCAUGGGAGACUAUUCUCCAGGUUCUGCACACGAGUGUUCCAGCUUCUCAGCUCCAUUGGCAGCACAGAAACAUGGUGUUUGGAGAAGGAAGGAGCUGGCCCUACUUUGAGACAGGGAACGAGGCACAGGGGAAGUUGCUGCAGUCCCUUCUCACCCUAUUGCCUUUGCAUUGUGCUGCUCUGAAGCAAUAUAAAGCUUCUUCUGAAGAAAAAAGUGUCUGUCCAGGGACUUACACUGAGACAACUAUAUCACAAUAACUGUCUCAGGAUAACUGUAGCAAUCUGUUUUAAGAAAACAUCCUUCUCCAGCCUGCUUCCACCACUCACAGAGACCUUCAAGAUGGCUCUGAACUAAAGCCAUGGAACCGUGUGGCACCUGGCAGGGUAAAGCUCUCCACUCCCAGCUAAUCUGCCAGAAGAUUUUGGCCAAAUGGAGGAUGAAGCAUAUUUGUCCUGGUCCAGCAGUACCAGACGUGUGGCCACAGUGCUCUUGAGCUGGUGCCAGGAGGUCUGAAGUAUUAUCAUACCAUCAAGCCAUUGCUGGGAUGCUCUGAAGAGGAGUUAAAGCAAAGCACAUAACUGUGCUGGUAAACACAUCCUGCUUUACAGAUGGGCUUUUACAUCCUGGGCGGAACUGUGCACCAACACAACGUCCCAGUUUGCUGCUAUGCACAGACACUCUGAGGGGUGGAAGGGUGAAGCCUCUGUCCCCUUCUGUACACAAUGCAAAAGGCAGGAGAGAUGAUGGAAAUCUGAACUACAGGCUCAUUCCCGUGGCUGGGAGUGAUGGGGUUAAGAUAAGGUGUCUCAAGAGUCUAACAGGUGAAAGUUGUUAACUCAUAUCACUACCUGUCCUGAGCUCUUCUUCAACCAUAGUUAUCUCUGACCCCCUGAUGUCCUCUGUGACCGCAUUGCUGCUGCCUGGAGACUCUGGCUCCCUGAGAGUGUCCCCUGUGUCUCUGCUGCAAUAUUUGCAUUUGGCAAUCAGGGCUUCAUCUCAACAUCUAAUCAAAAUACAACUCUCUGUGAUGUCUGAUGCAUCAACUGCGAAAUUGCACAAAAAUCUCUUUGUCCCUCCCAGGCAGCUCCACCAGAGUGGUGAAGAAGAAAGACCCAUUUCACACCUUAUUCCCCACAACAGGGGCCGCCUUUGGGGUAUGCUUUUACUUCCAGGUGCUGAAGUGCCAGGGAGAGGUGGCUGGGUUGAGCUGCAGAGUCACUCAGAUGUUAAAUGCUUGAGUAGCACCUUGAGGCAUUGAGGGAAAUGGCACUGGGGGACAAUUUGUAUUAAAAUGGGGUGGUGGAGCUGUUUGACUUCACUGUGAGCAGCGGUUGGUGCUCAGGAUGGCUGAGAGCAGCUGUGUCUGCCUCAAAGUAGAUCCUUGCUUAAACUCUACCUCCAGCACUGUUUUCAGUGGCAUUGGGGGCUUCUAUUUACAUUUGUAAGAAUCCAGUCUUUAAAACAUCCCCAGCAAUCCUCCCAAGCAUUCAAGUUCCAUGAUCCUCAAUGUAAAAUAAUUACCCAGGCUAAUUAAGCAUUAUGAUAGCUAUGGGCCAUUGUAAUGAAUUUUUGACUUGUUGCUAUUCACCGUCACUGACUAUCCUCUCGUGUCUUUGCUGCUGCUCUGGACAAGAAUAAAUAAAAGGCACCAAACCUA
Long non-coding RNA from Passer domesticus (house sparrow), 1895 nucleotides. RefSeq lists it as uncharacterized. The transcript has 4 exons. The record is from RefSeq and is a predicted model, not a curated record. Lineage: Eukaryota; Metazoa; Chordata; Aves; Passeriformes; Passeridae.